Molecule: long non-coding RNA, 3340 nt
Filed under: Homo sapiens (human)
Lineage: Eukaryota; Metazoa; Chordata; Mammalia; Primates; Hominidae
Description: non-protein coding ATP2B1-AS1:12
Source: RNAcentral
GCGCCCUCGGCUGGCGAGCGCGCGCCUGGCGAUUAGAACUUGCCGCGCGGUCGGGAAAGGGUGGCCGGAGUGAGGGGCGGAGGUGGGGACUUGCGCCUCCGCACGCCCCUCCCUUUCUUCCUUCCCCUGAGCGCCUUGGCUUGCCGCUGCCCCCGCCCCCUCCAGCGCGCCCCUUCCCUCCUGCCGCAGCCUGCGAUUGGCUGAGAGGCUCUGACGUCCGUGUUUCCAUGACGUGUUGGUGCAGGAGGGAGCGGCGGGGGAGGAGGGGGUGGCCAGGCGCGCGGGGAGGUGACUCCGUCAGUCACAGCUGCUGUUUCGGCGCGGGGCCGGGCCGCUGCCGCGACGUGUGGAGGCAGGAGAGCGAUGAUUGCCGCAGGAGAAGUGCGGGCGCCCUUCACCUGGGGCCCCUCCCGAACCGCCCCCGGGCCCAUGCCCCUCCAGGGCCCAGGAGCGAGCCAGCGGGAGGGCGAGGGCGAGCGCUCCUGGCGAGGACAGAUUAAGGCGAACCCCCAGUCAGCGGACAUUUGAGCGGCUCCUCGCCGCGUCUCUGCCCCCACUCCAAACCGGACUCGACGCCUGUCCCGGGCCGUGACGCACGCACCGGAGGAAAAAGUGCUUCUCGGCUCGCUCCCUCUUUGGGGAAGAGAGCUCACUCCCCAUGCGGGCGCGGGACACUCCAUCUCUGUUCCUGCCGGUCGGGUCCGCAAACACCGGGGAUCCCAGCUGCGGCGCCCAAAGGGUUAACGCAGGCGUUCGGCCAGUGCAAACCGGCCUCGCAGGAUCCGCGCUUAAAAUCCGGGUGUUUUCAUUUUGGGUUUGUUUCUUCUACUAUGCCAAGCUGGUGGCUCUCUUUUAAUUCUCUUGUAACAUCUCAACCCUGCACCCAUCUUUCCUGAGGGGAAAAGGAAACGGGAUAACUUGCGGUAUUUCGAUGCUCAAAGGUAACCGGCGGCUCUGCUCCAACCUUCAAGAGAUUUUGCAAGUUGAAAAAAAAAAAAAAACCAUCCUUCGUAACAUCUACUUAAAAAAAAAAAAGCAAGUUUUCCUUCUUGUACACGCAUAUACACAGUAAAGAUGUGUAUCUUACCUAAGAUACCGCGCUUCAUCUUCAUCUAAUCUUUAUUUGAACUCACCGUCGCCACUGGCCCAGAGACCUUGUCAGUGUUAUUUUCAGUAUCAGUUAAUCAGAACAAAAAGAUAAGUUCUGCAAUCUUCUUUCUCUUAAUUCCAGAACUGGAAAAUUAAUAUUUAUAUAGCCUCCUCAAAAGCAUACAGGCAAUAGGAAGUAUGGUAUUAUGUUCACGAUCUGAUGAUAGCAUUUGUUUUAAAAUAUUUUAAAAGAUUAGACACAAAAUGUGUAAAAGACGUUUAAAAGUGAAUAAAUAUAAAUCAAUGCUGUUGCAAAUAAUUUUUUUAUCAGUUUAUGUAUCUCACUAGGCUUGACAUUACCAGCCUUCUGAGCUGUGCCCUUGAUGUGUAAGAUAAACGAACAUUGAACAGAAUGAUAGCAUUUUUCCUCUCUUCAGUCACUGAUGGAGAAUUGGUUAAUGUGGUACAAUAAAUAGCCCUUCCUGACACUAUUUCAAAUCUUUUUAACAGAAGAAUAACCUAAAUUUCACCUAAUAAAUUUCAAUAUUAUUUCCCCCUAAAAUAUCUUUCAAAACGACUCAGAGACAUUUAAGAAUCACUGGCUUUUUUCCAACUUUUCCUCCAAGGAAGUUACAAUACAAUGUUGAAUUAUGUAUUCUACUUUAAUCAAGAAUUUGACAUUAAAGUAAUAUGUGAAUCAUUGCUAUAGUACACUAGCAAAAUGGGUAAUAAACUAGAAUCUGUUCACUUUGUGGGUUUGUUCCAGUUCCAGAUUAUAAAAUGAAUGCUCUUAAAGUGUUGUGGUCAUGAAACAAUUAUUGAGCAUCUUUAUUUAAGAACACGAUUCAAUUAAGUUUUCAUUUAUAUCGAUAAAUCUAUAAAUGAAACAUACGGAAUAUAUAUAUUCAUGUAUAUCCAUAAAUGAAAACGUGUGUGUGUGUGUAUCCCGGAACAUAUUUGUAUGCAUUUUAAUGAAAUGUGAGUCAUAUGCAAUGACAAACUUUUACUGUCAUAGUCAAGAAAAUUGUACUGUAGUUUGGUUUUUAUAUUUUUAUUCUUCAAAUAGGAAAUAAAGGGUGAAAGCAAUAUAGAAAUAACUGUUCACAUUACAUUAAGAAAUUCAAUUUUUUUCUCCCACAGGCUUAGUACUAAAGCAUCCCUCACACAUAUUUUUCAAUGUAAAAAUCAAGAAAAUAUUGCAUUGCUUACUGUUUCCUUGAAAAAAAAUUGAACUAUCUGAAAUCAAAGAUGCCACUGUAUGUAACAGUAUUCUCUUAAUCUUAGACCUAACUUAUCCCAUGUGUUUAACUGAUCUAGAGAUGUAUCUUUGCAUAAGGAACAAUAUAAUAAUACAAUUUACUGGGGAAAUAAUAUUUUAAAGUUCUUUUAAUAUGCAUUUUAGCUACAAUGCAAAACUUAUAAAAGUAUUUAAAUCCAGUCAGGUGCGGUGGCUCACGUCUGUAAUCCCAGCACUUCGGGAGACUGAGGCGGGCAGAUCACGAGGUCCGGAGAUUGAGACCAUCCUGGCCAACAUGGUGAAACCCCGUCUCUACUAAAAAUACAAAAAUUAGCUGGGCGUGGUGGCUCAUGCCUGUAAUCCCAGCUACUCAGGAGGCUGAGGCAGGAGAAUCGCUUGAACCAGGGAGUCCAAGGUUGCAGGGAGCCGAGAUCGCACCACUGCACUCCAGCCUGGCGACAGAGUGAGUCUCAGUCUCAAAAACAAAACGAAACAAAACAAAACAAAAAAGUAUUUAAACCCCAUGACAAGUUACCAUAUGAGAUGUUAACAUUGAAGAGUGGCUGCAGAUUCAAAAUAAUAUAUUUGGUAUUUUUAAGGUAUGCUCUUUUUCAUAGAGUAAAUCUAAACAACUGAGAUAUUUGCUGAAAAGUUGAUCGAUUCAAGAGAUAUAACACAUGAAGACAGUUUUCUAAAAUCCUCAAUGUAAUUAAGUGUAAAGAGAAACAAAGAACUUUAUUCUGUCACAUGCAUCUAGCAAUAGGACAAAAUAAAGACAUAUCAACUGCAGUGUAUUUUAAAAAACAUAUUCUUUCCCCGUAAACACAUUUUACAUAUGUGAAUGCAUCAGUCCUGAUCAUUACAGAAUCCUAAAGAGGACUGAUAAGUACAGGGAGGCAGAGAAGGAGGAUAUUAAAUUCUUAAUUUAAAAUAGCUGUAUAUGUUCUCAAAUUUCUAUUAACCUGAAUCACCAGAGAGAAGUGUCAAGAGAAAGAUUACUUAGCUGAAACCCAC